UACGUAGGUGGCAAGCGUUGUCCGGAUCUACUGGGCGUAAAGAGCGCGCAGGCGGUCGUUCAAGUCGGGUGUGAAAGCCCCCGGCUCAACUGGGGAGGGUCACUCGAUACUGAUCGACUCGAAGGCAGAAGAGGGAAGCGGAAUUCCCGGUGUAGUGGUGAAAUGCGUAGAUAUCGGGAGGAACACCAGUGGCGAAGGCGGCUUUCUGGUCUGCUCUUGACGCUGAGGCGCGAAAGCUAGGGUAGCAAGCGGG
RNAcentral lists this ribosomal RNA (253 nucleotides) under uncultured bacterium. Its description in RNAcentral is "partial 16S ribosomal RNA". It matches the Rfam family "Bacterial small subunit ribosomal RNA", at positions 524 to 776 of the family's 1533-position model. The record is from RNAcentral.